UUUCCUCUUAUUCAUCCCUCU
Molecule: microRNA, 21 nt
Filed under: Prunus persica (peach)
Lineage: Eukaryota; Viridiplantae; Streptophyta; Magnoliopsida; Rosales; Rosaceae
Description: microRNA miRNA_422
Source: RNAcentral